This 225-nucleotide long non-coding RNA is filed under the name Elaeis guineensis (African oil palm). Its description in RNAcentral is "long non-coding RNA (EGUI_LNC043447)". Lineage: Eukaryota; Viridiplantae; Streptophyta; Magnoliopsida; Arecales; Arecaceae. The record is from RNAcentral.
GGAGUUCGGAUGGAGUCUUCCUUUAGUCACAGUCGGAGAUGGAGCCCGGCUCCCGUAGGAGUCCGGGUGGAGUCUUCCUGCAAUUAAAGUAAGGUGUGAAGUCUGGCUCCUGUAGGAGUCCGGACGGAGCUUACCAGCAGUUGAAGUUGGCGACAGAGCCCGGCUCCCGUAGGAGUCCGGGCGGAGUCCUCCUUGUGGUUGAUGUCGUGGGUGGAGCCCGGCUCC